UACAGAGGUCUCAAGCGUUGUUCGGAUUCAUUGGGCGUAAAGGGUGCGUAGGCGGCGCGGUAAGUCGGGUGUGAAAUCUAGGAGCUUAACUCCGAAACUGCAUUCGAUACUGCCGUGCUUGAGGACUGGAGAGGAGACUGGAAUUUACGGUGUAGCGGUGAAAUGCGUAGAUAUCGUAAGGAAGACCAGUGGCGAAGGCGGGUCUCUGGACAGUUCCUGACGCUGAGGCACGAAGGCCAGGGGAGCAAACGGG
Molecule: ribosomal RNA, 253 nt
Filed under: uncultured bacterium
Lineage: Bacteria
Description: partial 16S ribosomal RNA
Rfam family: Bacterial small subunit ribosomal RNA
Source: RNAcentral